RNAcentral lists this long non-coding RNA (479 nucleotides) under Fukomys damarensis (Damara mole-rat). Its description in RNAcentral is "lncRNA (ENSFDAG00000030520.1)". The record is from RNAcentral. Lineage: Eukaryota; Metazoa; Chordata; Mammalia; Rodentia; Bathyergidae.
UCCCAGGUCCGGAGGGGCUCCUGCCGCCAGGCGGAUUUUGCAGCGCAGCACGCCGGGCGGCUUGGCCACAGGUCUGCCGGAUCCGAGGUUACUCCCGGGCGUUCAACUCAAUGGCCCUCUGUUUGUUACCGUGCACACCACUAGGUGGGUCCACAGACCGCUCCUGCCGCCCCUAGCAACCUCAAGCACCCCACCCACUCCCAGUCUGGAAUCCAAGCGCGAAGAGAGACGGGAGCCCAGGACUCGGAUGGGUGACCCAGAGGACAGAGAAGGGGUCGCUCCGCUCUGGCCGUGAGCGCUGGAAGCCGCCGUGCUUCCGGCGGGCAGAGAACUCGGGAAAGGCGCACCGGAGAGGGGAAGGAGGGGUGGACUGGGCAGACCUGCCCCGGAGGCCCUCCCGCUGGCACGGCUGGCCGUCCACACCGAGCAGGACGCUUUCCGGGCCUUCCACCCUGACCUCGAGCUCGUGUGCAAGUUCC